RNAcentral lists this ribosomal RNA (167 nucleotides) under uncultured Vibrio sp. RNAcentral describes it as "partial 16S ribosomal RNA". The record is from RNAcentral. Lineage: Bacteria; Pseudomonadati; Pseudomonadota; Gammaproteobacteria; Vibrionales; Vibrionaceae.
UGGGUGAAUAUUGCACAAUGGGACGCAAGCCUCGAUGCACGCUCGAUGAACCGCGUGUCGUGAAGAAGGCCUUCGGGUUGUAAAGCACUUUCAGUCGUGAGGAAGGUAGUGUAGUUAAUAGGCUGCAUUAUGUUGACGUUAGCGACAGAAGAAGCACACGGCUAAGC